This 233-nucleotide ribosomal RNA is filed under the name uncultured bacterium. Its description in RNAcentral is "partial 16S ribosomal RNA". It matches the Rfam family "Bacterial small subunit ribosomal RNA", at positions 100 to 334 of the family's 1533-position model. The record is from RNAcentral.
CGGGACGGGUGAGUAAUGCCUGGGAAACUGCCUGAUGGAGGGGGGUAACUACUGGAAACGGUAGCUAAUACCGCAUAACGUCGCAAGACCAAAGAGGGGGACCUUCGGGCCUCUUGCCAUCGGAUGUGCCCAGAUGGGAUUAGCUAGUAGGUGGGGUAACGGCUCACCUAGGCGACGAUCCCUAGCUGGUCUGAGAGGAUGACCAGCCACACUGGAACUGAGACACGGUCCAG